RNAcentral lists this ribosomal RNA (403 nucleotides) under Verrucomicrobiota bacterium. Its description in RNAcentral is "Verrucomicrobia bacterium partial 16S ribosomal RNA". It matches the Rfam family "Bacterial small subunit ribosomal RNA", at positions 355 to 776 of the family's 1533-position model. Lineage: Bacteria; Pseudomonadati; Verrucomicrobiota. The record is from RNAcentral.
UGGGGAAUAUUGCACAAUGGGGGAAACCCUGAUGCAGCGACGUCGCGUGAGCGAAGAAGGCCUUCGGGUCGUAAAGCUCUUUUAUGAGGGAAGAUAAUGACGGUACCAUAAGAAUAAGGUCCGGCUAAAUACGUGCCAGCAGCCGCGGUAAUACGUAUGGACCGAGCGUUGUCCGGAAUCAUUGGGCGUAAAGGGUACGUAGGCGGCCCAGUAAGUUAGAAGUGAAAUAAUAUAGCUCAACUAUAUAAAGCUUUUAAAACUGCUAGGCUUGAGAGAUGGAAGGGAAAGUGGAAUUCCUAGUGUAGCGGUGAAAUGCGCAGAUAUUAGGAAGAAUACCGGUGGCGAAGGCGACUUUCUGGUCAUCAUCUGACGCUGAGGUACGAAAGCGUGGGUAGCAAACAGG